Molecule: ribosomal RNA, 327 nt
Filed under: uncultured eukaryote
Lineage: Eukaryota
Description: partial 18S ribosomal RNA
Rfam family: Eukaryotic small subunit ribosomal RNA
Source: RNAcentral
CCCUUAGAUGUUCUGGGCCACACGCGCGCUACACUGACGAAUGCAACGAGCUUAUAACCUUGGCCGAAAGGUCUGGGUAAUCUCCAAAUUUCGUCGUGAUGGGGAUAGAUUAUUGCAAUUAUUAAUCUUCAACGAGGAAUGCCUAGUAAGCGCAAGUCAUCAGCUUGCGUUGAUUACGUCCCUGCCCUUUGUACACACCGCCCGUCGCUCCUACCGAUUGAAUGGUCCGGUGAAGCGCUCGGACCGCGGCCUCUUGACGGUUUUCCGUCGAUUGGCUGUGGGAAGUUCGUUAAACCUUAUCAUUUAGAGGAAGGAGAAGUCGUAACA